This 253-nucleotide ribosomal RNA is filed under the name uncultured bacterium. Its description in RNAcentral is "partial 16S ribosomal RNA". It matches the Rfam family "Bacterial small subunit ribosomal RNA", at positions 524 to 776 of the family's 1533-position model. The record is from RNAcentral.
AACGUAGGAGACAAGCAUUAUCCAGAAUUACUGGGCGUAAAGCGCGCGCAGGCGGUCGAGCAAGUGCGACGUGAAAGCUCCCAGCUAAACUGGGAGAGGACGCAGCAGACUGUUAGACUAGAGGGCGAUAGAAGGAUGCGGAAUUCGGGGUGUAGCGGUGAAAUGUGUAGAGAUCCCAAAGAACACCAGUGGUGAAAACGGCAUUCUGGAUCGCUUCUGACGCUGAGGCGCGAAAACUUGGGGAGCGAACGGG